GUACAAAGGUAGCAUAAUCAUUAGGGGUUUAAUUGGAACCUGGUAUGAAGGGUUGGACAAAGGAAAAACUGUCUUUCUGAUAUAAGUUGAAAUUUACUUUUAAGUGAAAAGGCUUAAAUUAAUCAAAGGGACGAUAAGACCCUAUAAAGCUUUAUAAAUAAUUUAAAUUUAAUUGAUUUAUUAAUUAAAGGCUAAAUUUAACUAUUUUAUUUUGUUGGGGUGAUGUGAGUAUAAGUUAUAUUAACUGCUUAAAAGAAAUUCUAUCAUAAAAGAGUCUAUAGUAUAGAUGAUCCUUUAUAAAGAUUAAAAGACUAAGUUACUUUAGGGGUAACAGCGUUAUUUCUUUUGAGAGUUCAUAUCGAAAAAGAAGAUUGCGACCUCGAUGUUGAAUUAAAAUGUCUAUAUAAUGCAGUCGUUAUAAGAGAGGGUCUGUUCGACCUUUAAAGUUUUACAUGAUUUGAGUUC
This 465-nucleotide ribosomal RNA is filed under the name Lophozozymus anaglyptus. RNAcentral's name for it is "partial 16S ribosomal RNA". It matches the Rfam family "Bacterial large subunit ribosomal RNA", at positions 1948 to 2612 of the family's 2925-position model. Lineage: Eukaryota; Metazoa; Arthropoda; Malacostraca; Decapoda; Xanthidae. The record is from RNAcentral.